Molecule: ribosomal RNA, 425 nt
Filed under: uncultured bacterium
Lineage: Bacteria
Description: bacterial SSU rRNA
Rfam family: Bacterial small subunit ribosomal RNA
Source: RNAcentral
GGGGAAUCUUCCGCAAUGGGCGAAAGCCUGACGGAGCAACGCCGCGUGAGUGAAGAAGGUCUUCGGAUCGUAAAGCUCUGUUGUCGGGGACGAAUGUUGAGACCAAGAACAUAGGUUUCAAAUGACGGUACCUGACGAGGAAGCCACGGCUAACUACGUGCCAGCAGCCGCGGUAAUACGUAGGUGGCGAGCGUUGUCCGGAAUUAUUGGGCGUAAAGGGAGCGCAGGCGGGAAGGUAAGUCUAUCUUAAAAGUGCGGGGCUCAACCCCGUGAGGGGAUAGAAACUAUUUUUCUUGAGUGCAGGAGAGGAAAGCGGAAUUCCUAGUGUAGCGGUGAAAUGCGUAGAUAUUAGGAGGAACACCAGUGGCGAAGGCGGCUUUCUGGACUGUAACUGACGCUGAGGCUCGAAAGCCAGGGGAGCGAAC